CCUACGGGAGGCAGCAGUGAGGAAUAUUGGUCAAUGGACGCAAGUCUGAACCAGCCAUGCCGCGUGCAGGAAGACUGCUCUAUGAGUUGUAAACUUCUUUUGUAAGAGGGUAAACGCAGAUACGCGUAUCUGUCUGAAAGUAUCGUAUGAAUAAGGAUCGGCUAACUCCGUGCCAGCAGCCGCGGUAAUACGGAGGAUUCAAGCGUUAUCCGGAUUUAUUGGGUUUAAAGGGUGCGUAGAUGGUCUGAUAAGUUAGAGGUGAAAUCCUGAGGCUCAACUUCGGAAUUGCAUUUGAUACUGGUCGGCUAGAGAGUAGUUGCGGUAGGCGGAAUGUAUGGUGUAGCGGUGAAAUGCUUAGAGAUCAUAAAGAACACCGAUUGCGAAGGCAGCUUACCAAGCUACUUCUGACGUUGAGGCACGAAAGCGUGGGUAGCAAACAGGAUUAGAUACCCGAGUAGUC
This 460-nucleotide ribosomal RNA is filed under the name uncultured bacterium. RNAcentral's name for it is "partial 16S ribosomal RNA". It matches the Rfam family "Bacterial small subunit ribosomal RNA", at positions 338 to 795 of the family's 1533-position model. The record is from RNAcentral.